CGUGACCUGCGUCUCCUCCCGCCGCCGCCGCGCGCUCUGCCAGCCCGCGAGUCCUCCGUAUCCAGGCCAGCGUCUUCACCCAGCCACGUGCCCUGCCCCUGGUGCGCAGGUGGACUGGAAAAGAGGAAGGCAAACGCAGUGGCCAGGCGGAGACCUCCCAAAUCCCACGUCUCCCCGAGAAUCAGAGACGGGCUCAGACUAGGGCAGCCAUAAGAAAAAACGUCAACUACAUCUCGAGGGAGUGAGCCCUUGAGGCACUGAAAUGUCUAAUCCAUGUCUGGAAACAGAUUGAUGGUUCCCGAAAAUCCAGUGGAUCUCCCCCAUUUGAGAGAUCCCUAAAGGCAGGGGUCAUGUCUCUCCCCUUGCACUGGGAGUUUCCUGAAGCCAGAUGCUGAAUUUCACCCUGAAGAAGGCAGCUGAGAGCACUAUAUGUGGCCCCACCAGACUGGGAGCUUCCUGAGGACAGGGGCUAAAUUUCACCCAUGAGAGUAACACUUCAAGAAACACUCUCUCUUCCUGCUUUGAGGACAGCUGAAGUCUCGCCACUUCUUCUGGAUGCUCUGACCAUCAGUGAGAGUCUGUAACCACCAGCUGCUCUUCCAGAUUCAUGAGGCAAGGCCUGCCUGCUCACCUGGCUGGCCCCAAGCACCUCUUCAACCUGCUGCCACCGUCCUGCCUCGCUGCCCUUCUCAGCUCAUCCAGCAGGGUCUCCAAGUCAUGGAAAAAGAAGCAUGUAUACACACGUGCUCAUAUACACAUGCCCAGAGCCGCAUAAGCACACCCAGAAACACCAUCGCAGACAUGUUCUCACAAGCACAUGCACACAACACACUCACUACCCCUCACUUGUAUACACAUGAAUACACACACACUCAUGCGCACUCACAGUCUUACACACACACACACACACACACACAGAGUUAUAAUCACUGCUGUUGGAUGAAUUGUGCCCCCCACCCCCGUGCUAAAAAGAUAUGUUAGAGUCCUAACCCCCAGUACCUGGGGAUGUGACCGUAGUUGGAAAUAGAGUGUUUGUAGAUGUAAUCAAAUUAAGAUGAGCUCUUACUGGAUUAGAGUGGGUCCUAAAUCCAGUGACUGGUGUCCUUAUAAGGAGAAAAAGAUUUGAAAACAGAGACAUGGAGACACAGAGCGGAAGGCCAUGUGAUGAUGGAGUCAGAGAUUGGAGUGAUGCAGCUGCAAGCCAAGAAAUACCAAGGUGCUGGAAGCCCCCAGAAAUAAGGAGAGAGGCAUGGAACAAUCUCCAUCAGAGCCUCCAGAAGAAACAGACUCUGCCAACACCUUGAUUGCAGACUUUUGGCCCCCUUCACUGUGCGAGAAUACAUUUCUAUUGUUUUAAACUACUGAGUCACCAA
Macaca mulatta (Rhesus monkey) is the source of this 1373-nucleotide long non-coding RNA. RefSeq lists it as uncharacterized. The record is from RefSeq and is a predicted model, not a curated record. Lineage: Eukaryota; Metazoa; Chordata; Mammalia; Primates; Cercopithecidae.